Molecule: regulatory RNA element, 104 nt
Organism: Pontibacillus chungwhensis BH030062
Lineage: Bacteria; Bacillati; Bacillota; Bacilli; Caryophanales; Bacillaceae
Rfam family: S10-Clostridia ribosomal protein leader
Source: Rfam
AAAAGGCGAUGAAGCGAAAGGUUGCUGAAACACCCGGCCCCUUUGCCAUGGCGGGUACUUCAGGCUAAAUUUUCGUGGAGAAUGUCUGUUACUAAAAUAGGCGA